RNAcentral lists this long non-coding RNA (429 nucleotides) under Homo sapiens (human). RNAcentral describes it as "HSALNT0037443". Lineage: Eukaryota; Metazoa; Chordata; Mammalia; Primates; Hominidae. The record is from RNAcentral.
CCUAACUACACGCCAGGCUGAAUGUCCAAAGGUUGUUCGCACAGGAAAAACCUUAGGAGCAUCCUGCUAGGGGCUGGUGUGCCAGGCAGACAUCAUUGUGAAAUCCCACAGUGUGCAAGCAACCUGUGCCAUCCUGUAUUUGGGUUUGGGUUGCCAGAAGCAGAUCCUGGUAUGAGGGUUUCUGUGCAAGGGAUUUAUUUAAAAAGUAUUCCUAGGAGAGAAUUAUCAGUGUGUGGUGAGGCAGGCUGGAGAGGAAGUAGCCAAGCAAGGGUAUGGACUUAGCAUAGUCCUAGGUGCAGCCUGAUCCUCAGGGGGCAAUGCAGGGAUUGUCCCUACUUGAGUCAGGGAACUGGGCUUUCCUGGGGCAUGACAUAAUCACUCCCUCUGAGAGGCCCCAGGGCAAUGUCAGCUCCCAUACCUGUGUUCUCU